UGAUGGCAGGAAUGAAGAAGGACAGACGCAUGGGUUUCUCUCACCAAGGCUUAUCCAACUGCACUGCUGCUGAGUGUGCAACCUCCCUGAAGCUGAGAUGGGUCCUGAGUAGUUGCCAGAACACCAAUCACUGAGGACAGAAACCAGCCAGUUGGUGGCAAAUUGAUUACUUUGGCAGUUUUUUACCCUGGAAGAACAGUAAUUUAUUUUGAAUAGGAUCAAGGUAUAUUCUGGAUAUUUGUCUUCCUUUCCUGCCAACUGUGCCUCAGUCAGCAGUAGAAUCAGAGGCCUUCCCAUGUGUGAUCCAUUGGCAAGUAUUCUGCAACCUAUUACCCAUGAGGAGGAGACUUAUAUUACCGUGGCAAAAGAGCAUAUGUGUACAGCUGACCUCACUGGACUCUUUGGGAUUAGUGGUCUUCUAUGUGGACUGACGUCAUAGUUGUCAUCACCAUCAUUUUCAUCAUCUCCUACAACCCACCAAGAAAUCAUGGCCUGGAUGGCCAGGGAAUAGGCUGCCCACAAGAGGAGGAAGGCACAGGAGGAAGGCCUCUGGUCUGUGUGGGAACAGGAAGAAGAGCAAUCAGGUUGGAAAGGAAGGUCUUAUAGGAGCCGAUUAAGGCAAGUGGUGAAGGACUCAAAGGUAAGAGGGUGAGCUUGGUGGCCUAAUGGGAGUGACCAGAGACCUCUCAUCCUUUUCACCCUGUGAGGAGACAGCAAGAAGGCACUGUCCACAAGCCAGAAGUGUGUCCUCAUUCACCUUAUUCAUUGGAUCUGCAAUGUAUAACACUCUGCUCUUCCUCAAAGUCAAAAUGACCAUUACAGGCAAACAUUUUGAAUCGAUUCAGGACAUCAAGGCAACAACUAAAGACACUUAUGAAAGAAGACUUCUAGAACUGUGUUAUUAACUGGCAAGAAGACUGGGAUAAGUGUGUUUGAAGUUUCUGGUAAAGUGGGAAGAUAUUACACAUUUUUGAAUAAUAAAGCCUACUGAAAGUGAGUCUGAUGCUGAGUCAAGGAAGGGGAGAUUGUGCACCAGAGGCUUAAUUUCUUCUAUUAGCCUGGCUGCUGGCAAUAACUUCCUGAAGGACACCUUCCGGAC
Molecule: long non-coding RNA, 1099 nt
Filed under: Heterocephalus glaber (naked mole-rat)
Lineage: Eukaryota; Metazoa; Chordata; Mammalia; Rodentia; Bathyergidae
Description: lncRNA (ENSHGLG00000042635.1)
Source: RNAcentral